This 395-nucleotide ribosomal RNA is filed under the name uncultured bacterium. RNAcentral describes it as "bacterial SSU rRNA". It matches the Rfam family "Bacterial small subunit ribosomal RNA", at positions 29 to 416 of the family's 1533-position model. The record is from RNAcentral.
AACGAACGCUGGCGGCGUGCUUAACACAUGCAAGUCGAGCGAGGAAGGGGGCUUCGGUUCCUGAGUAAAGCGGCGCACGGGUGAGUAACACGUGGGUAACCUGCCUUUCAGUGGGGGAUAACAGUUCGAAAGGGCUGCUAAUACCGCAUUCGUCCACACGGUCACAUGUCUGUGUGGAGAAAGAGGCGCAAGUCUCGCUGGAAGAUGGGCCCGCGGUCCAUUAGCUAGUUGGUGGGUAAAGGCCUACCAAGGCUUCGAUGGAUAGCUGGUCUGAGAGGAUGAUCAGCCACACUGGAACUGAGACACGGUCCAGACUCCUACGGGAGGCAGCAGUGGGGAAUAUUGCGCAAUGGGCGAAAGCCUGACGCAGCAACGCCGCGUGUGUGAUGAAGGCC